Transfer RNA from Ovis aries (sheep), 72 nucleotides. It matches the Rfam family "tRNA". Rfam says of the family: Transfer RNA (tRNA) molecules are approximately 80 nucleotides in length. The record is from Rfam. Lineage: Eukaryota; Metazoa; Chordata; Mammalia; Artiodactyla; Bovidae.
UCCCUGGUGGUUCAGAGGGCAAAGCAUCUGCCUGUGAUGCAGGAGACCCAGGUUCGAUCCCUGGGUGGGGAA